GUAACAAGGUUUCCGUAGGUGACCUGCGGAAGGAUCAUUA
Molecule: ribosomal RNA, 40 nt
Filed under: Ganoderma mutabile
Lineage: Eukaryota; Fungi; Basidiomycota; Agaricomycetes; Polyporales; Polyporaceae
Also listed under: 2 other names
Description: partial 18S ribosomal RNA
Source: RNAcentral